CUACUGAUGCCCGCGUCGCGA
RNAcentral lists this small RNA (21 nucleotides) under Arabidopsis thaliana (thale cress). RNAcentral describes it as "Ath_wt_08761". Lineage: Eukaryota; Viridiplantae; Streptophyta; Magnoliopsida; Brassicales; Brassicaceae. The record is from RNAcentral.